UACGGGGGGGGUAAGCGUUGUUCGGAAUUACUGGGCGUAAAGGGCUCGUAGGCGGCCAACUAAGUCGGAUGUGAAAUCCCCAAGCUUAACUUGGGAACUGCAUCCGAUACUGGAUGGCUUGAAUCCGGGAGAGGGAUGCAGAAUUCCAGGUGUAGCGGUGAAAUGCGUAGAUAUCUGGAGGAAUACCGGUGGCGAAGGCGGCAUCCUGGACCGGCAUUGACGCUGAGGAGCGAAAGCUAGGGGAGCAAACGGG
This 253-nucleotide ribosomal RNA is filed under the name uncultured bacterium. Its description in RNAcentral is "partial 16S ribosomal RNA". It matches the Rfam family "Bacterial small subunit ribosomal RNA", at positions 524 to 776 of the family's 1533-position model. The record is from RNAcentral.